UGGCUUUCGGAGCUAACGCGUUAAGUAGACCGCCUGGGGAGUACGGUCGCAAGAUUAAAACUCAAAUGAAUUGACGGGGGCCCGCACAAGCGGUGGAGCAUGUGGUUUAAUUCGAUGCAACGCGAAGAACCUUACCUACUCUUGACAUCCAGAGAACUUAGCAGAGAUGCUUUGGUGCCUUCGGGAACUCUGAGACAGGUGCUGCAUGGCUGUCGUCAGCUCGUGUUGUGAAAUGUUGGGUUAAGUCCCGCAACGAGCGCAACCCUUAUCCUUGUUUGCCAGCACGUAAUGGUGGGAACUCCAGGGAGACUGCCGGUGAUAAACCGGAGGAAGGUGGGGACGACGUCAAGUCAUCAUGGCCCUUACGAGUAGGGCUACACACGUGCUACAAUGGCGUAUACAGAGGGCUGCCAACCAGCGAUGGUGAGCGAAUCCCAGAAAGUACGUCGUAGUCCGGAUUGGAGUCUGCAACUCGACUCCAUGAAGUCGGAAUCGCUAGUAAUCGUGAAUCAGAAUGUCACGGUGAAUACGUUCCCGGGCCUUGUACACACCGCCCGUCACACCAUGGGAGUGGGCUGCACCAGAAGUAGAUAGCUUAACCUUCGGGAGGGCGUUUACCACGGUGUGGUUCAUGACUGGGGUGAAGUCGUAACAAGGUAACCAAGGG
Molecule: ribosomal RNA, 667 nt
Filed under: Photobacterium jeanii
Lineage: Bacteria; Pseudomonadati; Pseudomonadota; Gammaproteobacteria; Vibrionales; Vibrionaceae
Also listed under: 1 other name
Description: bacterial SSU rRNA
Rfam family: Bacterial small subunit ribosomal RNA
Source: RNAcentral